UGCAAUCUCGAAUAAUAUAGUCAGUUUAAUCACUUUAUUUGUGAAUUUUACCAAUCCUCAUUGGCAAACGAUAUCUUACUCAUGACUUUAUUACUUGAACGAUUGGUGCACUUGCUAGUGUUAAUUUUAUCGCAUCAAGUUUUUGGCGCCGUUGUCGAGGAUUGAGUUAGAAAUUUACACUUAUUGUGAUUUAAUUUUGAGAAGACCGACAAUUCAAGCAAAUAAUUUUGAGAUCAAGCCGGCCAUCAUUCAAAUGAUCCAACACUUGGUACAAUUUGGAAGCUUAUCACAAGAAGAUCCCAAUGUCCACUUGGAAAAUUUUCUGGAAAUUUGUGAUACUUUCAAGCACAAUGGAGUGUCGGAAGAUGCUAUUCGUCUGCGGCUUUUUCCAUUCUCAUUGAAGGAUAAAGCAAAAAGUUGGUUAAUCUCUUUACCUUCAAGAUCCAUCACCACAUGGGAGCAAAUGGCACAAAAAUUUCUAGGUACGUACUUUCCACCUGCGAAAACUGCAAAAUUGCGAAACGAAAUUAAUGUGUUUUUGCAGGUAGAGAAUGAAUCACUCUAUGAGGCAUGGGAAUGCUUUAAGGAUCUACUGAGAAAGUGUCCUCACCACGGGCUGCCAAUAUGGCUUCAGGUACAAACAUUUUAUAAUGGUUCUACUGCCAUAAUCCGCAAUAUGAUUGAUGCAGCUGCAGGUGGAACAAUAAUGAGAAAAACACCUAAACAAGCCUAUGAGUUGCUAGAUGAAAUGGCUACAAGUUCUUACCAAUGGCCUGCCGAAAGACUCCCUGGAAGGAGGGCUGUGGGUUUGCAUAAUGUUGAGACAAUCACAUCUUUGGCAGCACAAAUGGAGGCUCUCAAUAAGAAGAUGGAUGGAUUACAACUCCCAAUAUCAAUUACAUGUGAUUUUUGUGGAGGCAGCCACCCGAACCAUGAAUGCCAAACAGGAAGAAAGCAAGUUUGAUAAUCCGCCAUAAAAGCCCACAAUUGAGAAGCCACAAUUAAAAGGCCAUUCUCGGUCCAUUGAGAAGCCACAAUUAAAAGGCCCAAAUUUUGGCCCAUAGAAGCCCACAUUGAGGACAUUACUUCCAGCUACGACAUUGUGUUUCAUUCCUCCUAGCCACACGGUUUUUCUUCCUCUGAUUAUACAUUGGAUUUGGGGCUUUCAUUUGUAAAGAUUGCUUCCUGAGAUUACACGCUGGAGUUGGGGGCUGCCUGGGAGAUAAGAAGUUGCGACUCAAGUGGGAAAAACCCUAUCUAACCAAGAGUUUGAAGAUGGAAACCAGAGGAAGAUCCAGGCAGAGAGAGAGUGGCUGAGAGAGAUAAAGAGAUUUAGGGCAUAGAGAAUUAGGUUUAAAAGGGAAAUCUAGGAACGGGAAAGGGGAGUUGUGUUUACUGGGAUAUUCCAGAGGGUGCUUACUGGGAUAUUCCAGGGGGGUGUUGUGUUUACUGGAAUAUUCCAGAGAGUUUUUUGGGAGAUAUUCCAAAGGGAAAAAUGUUGUUACUGGGAUUUCCCACAGAAAGAAAGAGGGAAAAAAAGAGAUUAACCCAGGGCUUUUGGUGAGGGAUUUUUUGGUAUGGAAUUCCAGAGGGAAACAGGAGAUUUUUGGCUGGAAUAUUCCGGAGGGAAACGGGUUGUUUUUGCUGGGAUAUUCCAGAGAGAGAAAGAGGGGAAAAAGGAUUUGCCCAGGGCUUUUGGAAGAAGAUUCGGCCAGGAUUUGCCCAGGGCUUUUGGAGGAGGAUUCAGCCAGAGUUUUGGAGUUGACCCAGAGGGAUUAUUGCUGGGAGUGGUUGAUUCCAGGGAGAAAGCAGUAGCAUUCUGGGUUCAGUUGGCAUGUGGUAUGACAUCAUCGCACUACCUGGAGGAAAAUGACAAAAAAACCCAUGUGAGCUAAUUGAGCUGUACAGUUGUGUGGACCACUUCAACCCUUAUCAAUUGACACCUCAGCCCUUUUGUUUCCCCAAGAAGGAAGUGCUUUCUGGAAGGGAGAGGCAGCCGCCAAGUAGAAGUGGAGAAAAAAUAGAAGGAAAUAAGGCAGUACAGUACCGAUAGAAAAACCAAGUACCAGAGACGUGAGAAAAGGAAGAAAAAUUCAAGAGAGAGAGCUGCAGAAAGGAGGAUCCGAAGGGAAGGACAAUGAGAAAUUCUAGAAGAUCCAAGAUCCGGCUCCUCAACUCUUAUUCUUUCUGUUAGCUUGAUUCUUUUGUUAUUCUUGUUAUUAAUUAAGACAUUGAUUACUUUGGACAUCUGGUUUUUGUAAUUACCAUUAUGAACUAAAUUGUUAAGCUAGAUCUGCU
Morus notabilis is the source of this 2298-nucleotide RNA transcript. RefSeq lists it as uncharacterized. NCBI's taxonomy places the organism in Eukaryota, Viridiplantae, Streptophyta, Magnoliopsida, Rosales, Moraceae. The record is from RefSeq and is a predicted model, not a curated record. The transcript is spliced from 3 exons.